Molecule: ribosomal RNA, 429 nt
Filed under: Bacteroidota bacterium
Lineage: Bacteria; Pseudomonadati; Bacteroidota
Description: Bacteroidetes bacterium partial 16S ribosomal RNA
Rfam family: Bacterial small subunit ribosomal RNA
Source: RNAcentral
UAGGGAAUCUUCCGCAAUGGACGCAAGUCUGACGGAGCAACGCCGCGUGAGUGAAGAAGGAUUUCGGUUCGUAAAACUCUGUUGUUAGAGAAGAACAGCGCAUAGAGUAACUGUUAUGCGUGUGACGGUAUCUAACCAGAAAGCCACGGCUAACUACGUGCCAGCAGCCGCGGUAAUACGUAGGUGGCAAGCGUUGUCCGGAUUUAUUGGGCGUAAAGCGAGCGCAGGCGGUCAGUUAAGUCUGAUGUGAAAGCCCCCGGCUCAACCGGGGAGGGUCAUUGGAAACUGGUUGACUUGAGUGCAGAAGAGGAGAGUGGAAUUCCAUGUGUAGCGGUGAAAUGCGUAGAUAUAUGGAGGAACACCAGUGGCGAAGGCGACUCUCGGGUCUGUAACUGACGCUGAGGCUCGAAAGCGUGGGUAGCAAACAGG